Molecule: ribosomal RNA, 253 nt
Filed under: uncultured bacterium
Lineage: Bacteria
Description: partial 16S ribosomal RNA
Rfam family: Bacterial small subunit ribosomal RNA
Source: RNAcentral
UACGGGGGGAGCAAGCGUUGUUCGGAUUUACUGGGCGUAAAGGGCGCGUAGGCGGCCUUCUAAGUCGAACGUGAAAUCCCCGGGCUCAACCCGGGAACUGCGUCCGAUACUGGAAGGCUUGAAUCCGGGAGAGGGAUGCGGAAUUCCAGGUGUAGCGGUGAAAUGCGUAGAUAUCGGGAGGAACACCGGUGGCGAAGGCGGCGACCUGGGUCGAGACUGACGCUGAGGCGCGAAAGCGUGGGGAGCAAACAGG